This 788-nucleotide ribosomal RNA is filed under the name uncultured Planctomycetota bacterium. Its description in RNAcentral is "bacterial SSU rRNA". It matches the Rfam family "Bacterial small subunit ribosomal RNA", at positions 699 to 1482 of the family's 1533-position model. The record is from RNAcentral. Lineage: Bacteria; Pseudomonadati; Planctomycetota.
AUGAGGAACACCGGUGGCGAAAGCGGCUCUCUGGGAUCUUUCUGACGCUGAGGCACGAAAGCUAGGGGAGCGAACGGGAUUAGAUACCCCGGUAGUCCUAGCUGUAAACGAUCUGUACUAGUCCGUGGGGACCCCCACAUCUUCUCGGACGUAGCGAAAGUGUUAAGUACAGCGCCUGGGGAGUAUGGUCGCAAGGCUGAAACUCAAGGGAAUUGACGGGGGCUCACACAAGCGGUGGAGGAUGUGGCUUAAUUCGAGGCUACGCGAAGAACCUUACCUAGGCUUAACAUGUUUGAGAACGUCUGUGAAAGCAGAAAGUGCCCUUCGGGGAGCUCUUACGUAGGUGCUGCAUGGCUGUCGUCAGCUCGUGUCGUGAGAUGUCGGGUUAAGUCCCUUAACGAGCGAAACCCUUGUCUUUAGUUGCCAGCGAGUAAUGUCGGGGACUCUAAAGAGACUGCCGGUGUUAAACCGGAGGAAGGUGGGGAUGACGUCAAGUCCUCAUGGCCUUUAUGCCUAGGGUUGCACACGUCCUACAAUGCAACGUACAAAGCGACGCUAAAUCGCGAGAUCACGCAAACCGCAAAAAACGUUGCUCAGUUCGGAUUGCAGGCUGAAAUUCGCCUGCAUGAAGCCGGAAUCGCUAGUAAUCGCGGGUCAGCAUACCGCGGUGAAUGUGUUCCUGAGCCUUGUACACACCGCCCGUCAAGCCACGAAAGUUGGGGGGGCCCGAAGUCGCGAUGCUAACCGCAAGGAGGCUAGCGCCGAAGGUCAACUCGAUGAUUGGGACU